Molecule: unclassified non-coding RNA, 351 nt
Filed under: soil metagenome
Description: partial contains 5.8S ribosomal RNA, internal transcribed spacer 2, and large subunit ribosomal RNA
Rfam family: 5.8S ribosomal RNA (bases 1-120)
Source: RNAcentral
GAUGAAGAACGUAGCGAAAUGCGAUAAGUAAUGUGAAUUGCAGAAUUCAGUGAAUCAUCGAAUCUUUGAACGCACAUUGCGCCCGCCAGUAUUCUGGCGGGCAUGCCUGUCUGAGCGUCAUUUCAACCCUCAGCCCCCGUUCGCGGGGCGCUGGCGUUGGGGAUCGGCCGUCCUUGCGGCGGCCGGCCCCGAAACACAGUGGCGGUCUCCCGUAGACUCCCCUGCGUAGUAACACUACCUCGCAGAAGGGACGAGCGGGCUGGCCACGCCGUAAAACCCCCCACUUCUCAAGGUUGACCUCAGAUCAGGUAGGAAUACCCGCUGAACUUAAGCAUAUCAAUAAGCGGAGGA